AAAGAUUUAAGUUAAAAAAACUUCCUGCCUUCAAAGCAGGCAAUAUGCCAACAUAGUCUUUG
This 62-nucleotide transfer RNA is filed under the name Syllis sp. JYC-2022. RNAcentral's name for it is "tRNA-Trp". Lineage: Eukaryota; Metazoa; Annelida; Polychaeta; Phyllodocida; Syllidae. The record is from RNAcentral.